CGUAGGGUGCGAGCGUUAAUCGGAAUUACUGGGCGUAAAGCGUGCGCAGGCGGCUUUGCAAGACAGAUGUGAAAUCCCCGGGCUCAACCUGGGAACUGCAUUUGUGACUGCAUGGCUAGAGUGCGGCAGAGGGGGAUGGAAUUCCGCGUGUAGCAGUGAAAUGCGUAGAUAUGCGGAGGAACACCGAUGGCGAAGGCAAUCCCCUGGGCCUGCACUGACGCUCAUGCACGAAAGCGUGGGGAGCAAACAGGAUUAGAUACCCUGGUAGUCCACGCCCUAAAACGAUGUCAACCGGUUGUUGGACGGCUUGCUGUUCAGUAACGAAGCUAACGCGUGAAGUUGACCGCCUGGGGAUACGGCCGCAAGGUUG
RNAcentral lists this ribosomal RNA (370 nucleotides) under uncultured organism. RNAcentral's name for it is "bacterial SSU rRNA". It matches the Rfam family "Bacterial small subunit ribosomal RNA", at positions 526 to 896 of the family's 1533-position model. The record is from RNAcentral.